CGGGGGGCCGCCCGGGAGUGUCGCGUUCUGCGCGCUCGCCCGGGAGCCACGGCGCCCCGGUGGCCCAAAAAACUCUUGUUUUGUAUGGCCUAUCAGAAAUACUAUCUAAUAGUUAAAACUUUCAGCAACGGAUCUCUUGGUUCUGGCAUCGAUGAAGAACGCAGCGAAAUGCGAUAAGUAAUGUGAAUUGCAGAAUUCAGUGAAUCAUCGAAUCUUUGAACGCACAUUGCGCCCCCUGGUAUUCCGGGGGGCACGCCUGUCCGAGCGUCAUUUCAACCCUCCAGCUCCGCUGGGUGUUGGGGAUCUACGGAGACGUAGGCCCUGAAAAUCAGUGGCGGGCUCGCGCAUACCCGGACGUAGUAACACUGUCGUCUAGGGGCUGCCGCGGGUGCUGGCCGUGAAACACGACGCAAGUCAUUUUCGAAGGUUGACCUCGGAUCAGGCGGGAAUACCCGCUGAACUUAAGCAUAUCAAUAAGCGGAGGAAAAGAAACUAACAAGGAUUCCCCUAGUAACGGCGAGUGAAGCGGGAACAGCCCAAAUUUGAAAGCUGGCCGUAAGGUCCGCGUUGUAAUUUGGAGAGGAUGCUUCUGGUGAGGCCUUGACUGAGUCCCCUGGAACGGGGCGCCGCAGAGGGUGAGAGCCCCGUAGAGUCAGACGCCGAUCCUGUGUGAAGCUCCCUCGACGAGUCGAGUAGUUUGGGAAUGCUGCUCUAAAUGGGAGGUAAAUUCCUUCUAAGGCUAAAUACCGGCCAGAGACCGAUAGCGCACAAGUAGAGUGAUCGAAAGAUGAAAAGCACUUUGAAAAGAGGGUUAAAUAGCACGUGAAAUUGCUGAAAGGGAAGCGCACGUCGCCAGACUCGGCCUCGGUGGUAACCCGGCGUUCUCGCCGGUGGCUCCUCCGGGGUCGGGCCAGCACCGGUGGUUCGGGGGCAGGAAGCGCAGGAACGUAGCUCCCUCGGGAGUGUUAUAGCCUGCGUGGAGCGUCCCUGGGCCACCGAGGCCCGCG
This 1007-nucleotide ribosomal RNA is filed under the name Obolarina sp. RNAcentral describes it as "eukaryotic LSU rRNA". The stretch from base 429 to 1007 matches the Rfam family "Eukaryotic large subunit ribosomal RNA", at positions 1 to 498 of the family's 3401-position model. Lineage: Eukaryota; Fungi; Ascomycota; Sordariomycetes; Xylariales; Xylariaceae. The record is from RNAcentral.